Molecule: non-coding RNA, 73 nt
Organism: Potamilus streckersoni
Lineage: Eukaryota; Metazoa; Mollusca; Bivalvia; Unionida; Unionidae
Source: the annotation of a GenBank genome assembly
GCUCGGGUGGCCUAAUGGUUAGAGCGCCCACCUCAGAUGCAUGAGGUCAUGGGUUUGAUCCCCGGUCAAGUCA